RNAcentral lists this long non-coding RNA (377 nucleotides) under Manihot esculenta (cassava). Its description in RNAcentral is "long non-coding RNA (MESC_LNC011297)". Lineage: Eukaryota; Viridiplantae; Streptophyta; Magnoliopsida; Malpighiales; Euphorbiaceae. The record is from RNAcentral.
GUUUGCUGGUCCUUUUAUAGGCUGGAGUGGCUGCCCUAGGGUUUCCUUGUUGAAUUGAGACUCCUUUUCCUAUUUGGACUUGGAUUCUUGGAGGGUAUUUUUGUCUUUUUGAUUUUUAGCUUCCCAAAUAUGUAGGAGAGAUUGCUGAGGUGGAAUUAUGUGUUGCUGAGCUGUCCCACGUGAUUGGAGUGCAACAAGACUCGUGUUUGACUUGGUCUUCAAAUUCUGCAGAUCUGCUGGUUUUCUGGUUGCUGGUGCUGUUUGCCCGACGUUGUUUGGGCAAACAGGCUGUCUGUCGUGGCUGUUGUCUGCGUGUCUGGUCCUUGUCUCUGUCUUGCUUCGCUGUUUGCCCAAACAGUCUUGGGCAAACAGUCUGG